RNAcentral lists this ribosomal RNA (505 nucleotides) under uncultured bacterium. RNAcentral describes it as "partial 16S ribosomal RNA". It matches the Rfam family "Bacterial small subunit ribosomal RNA", at positions 29 to 523 of the family's 1533-position model. The record is from RNAcentral.
AGUGAACGCUGGCGGUAGGCCUAACACAUGCAAGUCGAACGGCAGCACAGGAGAGCUUGCUCUCUGGGUGGCGAGUGGCGGACGGGUGGGGAAUACAUCGGAAUCUACUCUGUCGUGGGGGAUAACGUAGGGAAACUUACGCUAAUACCGCAUACGACCUACGGGUGAAAGCAGGGGACCUUCGGGCCUUGCGCGAUUGAAUGAGCCGAUGUCGGAUUAGCUAGUUGGCGGGGUAAAGGCCCACCAAGGCGACGAUCCGUAGCUGGUCUGAGAGGAUGAUCAGCACACUGGAACUGAGACACGGUCCAGACUCCUACGGGAGGCAGCAGUGGGGAAUAUUGGACAAUGGGCGCAAGCCUGAUCCAGCCAUACCGCGUGGGUGAAGAAGGCCUUCGGGUUGUAAAGCCCUUUUGUUGGGAAAGAAAUCCAGCUGGCUAAUACCCGGUUGGGAUGACGGUACCCAAAGAAUAAGCACCGGCUAACUUCGCGCCAGCAGCCGCGGUAA